CCUACGGGAGGCAGCAGUGAGGAAUAUUGGUCAAUGGACGAGAGUCUGAACCAGCCAAGUAGCGUGAAGGAUGACUGCCCUAUGGGUUGUAAACUUCUUUUAUAUGGGAAUAAAAUGUUCCACGUGUGGGAUUUUGUAUGUACCAUAUGAAUAAGGAUCGGCUAAAUCCGUGCCAGCAGCCGCGGUAAUACGGAGGUACCGAGCUGUAUCCGGAUUUAUUGGGUUUAAAGGGAGCGAAGGUGUAUUGUUAAGUAAGUUGUGAAAGUUUGCGGCUCAACCGUAAAAUUGAAUUUGAAACUGGCAGUCUUGAGUACAGUAGAGGUGGGCGGAAUUCGUGGUGUAGCGGUGAAAUGCUUAGAUAUCACGAAGAACUCCGAUUGCGAAGGCAGUUCACUGGACUGCAACUGACACUGAGGCUCGAAAGUGUGGGUAUCAAACAGGAUUAGAUACCCGAGUAGUC
RNAcentral lists this ribosomal RNA (460 nucleotides) under uncultured bacterium. Its description in RNAcentral is "partial 16S ribosomal RNA". It matches the Rfam family "Bacterial small subunit ribosomal RNA", at positions 338 to 795 of the family's 1533-position model. The record is from RNAcentral.